UCUCCUUCUCUGCUCUCUAUUGCCAUAGGUCUGCUUAAAGACCUUAAACAGAGUUCAGAUCGAAGAAAGGAUUCCUCACAGCACUAAAACACCUCCCUGAAACAUCUGAUCCAAGCUACAACCCCCUCAGAUUGUCUGAUCAUGCAACACCCCCAAGAAAUGCGUGUGAAAUGCCUCCAAUCCAUCGUGGACCAUGAGAAACAUGAGGAAAAC
RNAcentral lists this long non-coding RNA (213 nucleotides) under Elaeis guineensis (African oil palm). RNAcentral's name for it is "long non-coding RNA (EGUI_LNC043208)". The record is from RNAcentral. Lineage: Eukaryota; Viridiplantae; Streptophyta; Magnoliopsida; Arecales; Arecaceae.